Molecule: ribosomal RNA, 406 nt
Filed under: uncultured bacterium
Lineage: Bacteria
Description: partial 16S ribosomal RNA
Rfam family: Bacterial small subunit ribosomal RNA
Source: RNAcentral
AUUGAACGCUGGCGGCAUGCCUAACACAUGCAAGUCGAACGAGUGGCGGACGGGUGAGUAAUGUCUGGGAAACUGCCUGAUGGAGGGGGAUAACUACUGGAAACGGUAGCUAAUACCGCAUACCAUCGGAUGUGCCCAGAUGGGAUUAGCUAGUAGGUGGGGUAAAGGCUCAACUAGGCGACGAUCCCUAGCUGGUCUGAGAGGAUGACCGGCCACACUGGAACUGAGACACGUUCCAGACUCCUACGGGAGGCAGCAGUGGGGAAUAUUGCACAAUUGGCGCAAGCCUUAUGGAGCCAUGCCGCGUGUAUGAAGAAGGCCUUCGGGUUGUAAAGUACUUUCAGCGGGGAGGCGUUACCUGCCGAAGAAGCACCGGCUAACUACGUGCCAGCAGCCGCGGUAAUAC